This 253-nucleotide ribosomal RNA is filed under the name uncultured bacterium. RNAcentral describes it as "partial 16S ribosomal RNA". It matches the Rfam family "Bacterial small subunit ribosomal RNA", at positions 524 to 776 of the family's 1533-position model. The record is from RNAcentral.
UACGUAGGGCGCAAGCGUUGUCCGGAAUUAUUGGGCGUAAAGAGCUCGUAGGCGGUCUGUCGAGUCGCUCGUGAAAACUUGGGGCUUAACCCUGAGCUUGCGGUCGAUACGGGCAUGACUGGAGUUCGGCAGGGGAGACUGGAAUUCCUGGUGUAGCGGUGAAAUGCGCAGAUAUCGGAGGAACACCGGUGGCGAAGGCGGGUCUCUGGGCCGAUACUGACGCUGAGGAGCGAAAGCGUGGGGAGCGAACAGG